AACAAAUUUGGUCCUAGUCUUCCAUUUAGCUACUUUUUUAACGAUACAUGCAAGCUACUAACAGCAUCACCGUAAUACCCAACAAAUUUCCAUCCUAAUAUUUCAUUAUUACCAAUUGAUAUCAGUCUUAAUUUAAAUUAAACUAAAACAUCAAGAAUAAUUCUACAACUGCAGUACCUAACAUUUUACAAUAAACAAAAAUUUGAUAUAGCAAAAAAAGAAAGAGUUGGUAAAUUAUGUGCCAGCUACCGCGGUUAUACAUAAAACCCUAGUUAAAUACUUCGGUAUAAAACGUGGUUAAAUAAGUCUAUAACCUAAGAUUAACACACUACUUCAGUAGUAAAAAACCUACAGAACUUCUUACCCAAAAAAUCUUAAAUAAAAUUGAAGCCACGAAAACUCCACAAUAAACUGGGAUUAGAUACCCCACUAUAUGAGCCAUAAAAUAAACCAAUACCAGAGAACUACUUAACCAAUUUUAAAACUCAAAGGACUUGGCGGUUUUUUAUAUCUUCCUGGAGGAGCUUGCUAUCCAACCGAUAAUCCUCGUUACACCUUACCAAUCUUAGCCAACUCCAACUUGUAUACCAUCGUCGUCAGUUUACCCCACGAGGGAUAAGUCCUCUUAAUCAAUAAACUCUUUCAAACGCCAGAUCGAGGUGCAGUUAAUAGAUUGGUGAUACGUGAGCUACAAUAAUCCUACAACCCCCCAAAAACAACUAUGGAUAUUACAUGAAAAACUAAAUUUAAACAGAAUUCAGAAGUAAUGAAAAUAAAAGAAAUUUUUCAUGAAAACUUCUAGCCCUAAAAUACGCACACAUCGCCCGUCACUCUCCUCAAACUUAGAAGAGAAAAGUCGUAACAUAGUAGGCGUAUUGGAAAAUGUGCCUGGAAUUAU
This 898-nucleotide non-coding RNA is filed under the name Euretaster insignis. The record is from RNAcentral. Lineage: Eukaryota; Metazoa; Echinodermata; Asteroidea; Velatida; Pterasteridae.